GGAUAGAGGCGCAGCAGCCAAAAGUAUCCUGUGUUUAUCAAGGCCGUCGCAAGGCUGCGGACACAGAGGAAAGGGGUCGCUGCCGAAGGCGGACGAGGCGAAACUCCGUCUGGGCAUACGGAAAAUAUCCGUAUGACUGUCGCAUUUGUGCGGAGCGCUAUA
This 162-nucleotide non-coding RNA is filed under the name human gut metagenome. Its description in RNAcentral is "Lysine riboswitch". It matches the Rfam family "Lysine riboswitch aptamer". Rfam says of the family: Riboswitches are metabolite binding domains within certain messenger RNAs that serve as precision sensors for their corresponding targets. Allosteric rearrangement of mRNA structure is mediated by ligand binding, and this results in modulation of gene expression. The record is from RNAcentral.